UAUCCUAAAAACUUAACCAUGUUUAAGUAAUUAAUUAAAUAUAGUUAUCACUAAUUUGACUAAGAUUUAGAUUUUCUUUUAUUAUGUUAAACAUAAAUUACUAGACUUUGUAAAAAGGGGGUAAUCCUAUUCUUUUGUUUAACCAGAAAAUAUUAGACUUAUAUUUAACCAUCACCCAACUUGGUGGUUGAAAGUUAAAAAAAAAAAAAAAAAAAAAAAAAAAAAUGACUAUUUGCUGAUUUCAUAAAUUAAAAGAAAAAUAAAAGUAUUAUAUAAAACUGACAAAGUUGACUGCCUUCUUCCUCCUCCUUCAAUUCCUUCAUUUUCAUGGCAAACACAUGGCACACAUGCAAUCACCCUCUCUUCUUCUUCUUCAGUCAAAAUCUGUCACCAAUCCUCACCAUUGCUUCUUCAAGUUGACAAAUUCAGAUUAUUUACUUCACCAUCUUCCUCCCAACCACUGAUUUUAACUCCAAAUUUCCCUAUAAAUAGUCAUGGAUACAACACCAAGAACACACCAACAACAACCUUCAUCAUCUCUUCUCUCUAAUCAGAAAUUCGGUCAAUAAUUGCCGGAAAAAUUGCAACUAAAAGAAACACAAAAGAAAACCCCAAAUUUUUACAACUCUCUUCUGUUUCGGUCCCCCCUCAACGAAACACUCCCGUCGGCCACCGCGCGACGCCGGUCUCGCGCCACGCUCAGUCGCCCCCUCUCACCUCGCCGUCUCUCGCCGGCCGCCUCGCACGUCACUCGCCGGAGAUCCGCGGCGCCAGCACUCACGCACACACUCUCUCUCCUCCUCGCGUCCUCUCUCUCGCUCUUCUCCUUCGCGGAUUGCUGUACCGCGCAAGCACCGGCGAACUCCGUACGCCACCGUUGCUGCACGCCGCCGACGUUUCUCGCCGCCGCCGCUGCUCGACCGUCGUCCACCGGAGCCGGAACCCUCCGCCUCGAUCUCCGUCGUCCCUGCUCUAAGAAGCAGAGAUUAAAGAAGAUAAAGGAUAUUACAAGCCUCCCCGGCUAUCAUGGUUGGUAAGCAGGAAUUCAGGUAUGGAAGAACAGAUAUGGAUCACUAUUAUACUGCGUUAUGGAGAUUUUGUAUGAUUCUAUGAGGUUUUAAGAUACUUUGUAUAGUGAAUAAACAAGUAUUAUCUUGCGAUGAGUAAUUGUAUAGUGAAUUUUCAAUUUUAGGCUACUAUUUUAUUUGUGGGCCAUAACCCACAGGAUUAAGUUAUGCUUCCGCU
Long non-coding RNA from Beta vulgaris subsp. vulgaris (sugar beet), 1245 nucleotides. RefSeq lists it as uncharacterized. The record is from RefSeq and is a predicted model, not a curated record. The transcript is spliced from 3 exons. NCBI's taxonomy places the organism in Eukaryota, Viridiplantae, Streptophyta, Magnoliopsida, Caryophyllales, Amaranthaceae.